AUAUACCUCAGUGGUAGAGUGUUUUCCUAGCAUGCAGAAGGCCCUGGGUUCAAUCCCCAUCACUAUAUA
Molecule: transfer RNA, 69 nt
Filed under: Marmota monax (woodchuck)
Lineage: Eukaryota; Metazoa; Chordata; Mammalia; Rodentia; Sciuridae
Description: tRNA.Ala
Source: RNAcentral